RNAcentral lists this ribosomal RNA (505 nucleotides) under uncultured bacterium. RNAcentral's name for it is "partial 16S ribosomal RNA". It matches the Rfam family "Bacterial small subunit ribosomal RNA", at positions 28 to 507 of the family's 1533-position model. The record is from RNAcentral.
GACGAACGCUGGCGGCGUGCCUAAUACAUGCAAGUAGAACGCACAGUUUAUACCGUAGCUUGCUACACCAUAAACUGUGAGUUGCGAACGGGUGAGUAACGCGUAGGUAACCUGCCUGGUAGCGGGGGAUAACUAUUGGAAACGAUAGCUAAUACCGCAUAAUAUUGAUUAUUGCAUGAUAAUUGAUUGAAAGAUGCUAUUGCAUCACUACCAGAUGGACCUGCGUUGUAUUAGCUAGUAGGUGAGGUAACGGCUCACCUAGGCGACGAUACAUAGCCGACCUGAGAGGGUGAACGGGCACACUGGGACUGAGAAACGGCCCAGAAUCCCAACGGAAGGAGCAGGAGGGAAACUUCGGCAAUAGACGAAAGUCUGAACGAGCAACGCCGCGGGAGAGAAGAAGGUUUUCGGAGCGGAAAGCUCCGUUGUAAGAGAAGAAAGGGUGUGAGAGUGGAAAGUGCACACUGUGACGGUAUCUUACCAGAAAGGGACGGCUAACUACGUG